RNAcentral lists this ribosomal RNA (233 nucleotides) under uncultured bacterium. RNAcentral describes it as "partial 16S ribosomal RNA". It matches the Rfam family "Bacterial small subunit ribosomal RNA", at positions 118 to 351 of the family's 1533-position model. The record is from RNAcentral.
UGAGUAACCUGCCCUUAACUCUGGGAUAAGCCUGGGAAACUGGGUCUAAUACCGGAUAUGACUCCUCAUCGCAUGGUGGGGGGUGGAAAGCUUUUUGUGGUUUUGGAUGGACUCGCGGCCUAUCAGCUUGUCGGUGAGGUAAUAGCUCACCAAGGCGAUGACGGGUAGCCGGCCUGAGAGGGUGACCGGCCACACUGGGACUGAGACACGGCCCAGACUCCUACGGGGGGCAG